GACGAACGCUGGCGGCGUGCCUAAUACAUGCAAGUCGAGCGAACGGACGAGAAGCUUGCUUCUCUGAUGUUAGCGGCGGACGGGUGAGUAACACGUGGAUAACCUACCUAUAAGACUGGGAUAACUUCGGGAAACCGGAGCUAAUACCGGAUAAUAUUUUGAACCGCAUGGUUCAAAAGUGAAAGACGGUCUUGCUGUCACUUAUAGAUGGAUCCGCGCUGCAUUAGCUAGUUGGUAAGGUAACGGCUUACCAAGGCAACGAUGCAUAGCCGACCUGAGAGGGUGAUCGGCCACACUGGAACUGAGACACGGUCCAGACUCCUACGGGAGGCAGCAGUAGGGAAUCUUCCGCAAUGGGCGAAAGCCUGACGGAGCAACGCCGCGUGAGUGAUGAAGGUCUUCGGAUCGUAAAACUCUGUUAUUAGGGAAGAACAUAUGUGUAAGUAACUGUGCACAUCUUGACGGUACCUAAUUAGAAAGCCACGGCUAACUACGUG
This 497-nucleotide ribosomal RNA is filed under the name uncultured bacterium. RNAcentral describes it as "partial 16S ribosomal RNA". It matches the Rfam family "Bacterial small subunit ribosomal RNA", at positions 28 to 507 of the family's 1533-position model. The record is from RNAcentral.